UUUGUUUCACGAAAGCCAUAAUUUAUACGCAGGUCCCUUCCCUGACAUACGCCUGUUGAGAGAUGUGGAGCAGUGCAUUCACUUCUAUGGCCGUCUGCUGUUGCUAGAGAACUACAAAAUUGACUCAUCAGUUAUGAGGCGUGCUGAUUGCAAAAUUCGCCUCUGGCCUCGGGAGGAGCUUGAUGUACGCAAGUCUUCGGUGCGAGACAAUUGGUGUGUUCCUUUUAACACCGGCCGUAGGGGGCUAUUUGUAAACGCCGCGUCGAGCUGCAAUGAGGUGUGGAAACGGACCGUUUUGCGGUGCGCGCUUUCAGUGGAGCGAGUGUGGUGCAAGUUAGCAGCGUAAGGUA
Long non-coding RNA from Spodoptera frugiperda (fall armyworm), 350 nucleotides. RefSeq lists it as uncharacterized. The record is from RefSeq and is a predicted model, not a curated record. The transcript is spliced from 3 exons. NCBI's taxonomy places the organism in Eukaryota, Metazoa, Arthropoda, Insecta, Lepidoptera, Noctuidae.